Molecule: ribosomal RNA, 510 nt
Filed under: uncultured bacterium
Lineage: Bacteria
Description: partial 16S ribosomal RNA
Rfam family: Bacterial small subunit ribosomal RNA
Source: RNAcentral
GACGAACGCUGGCGGCGUGCUUAACACAUGCAAGUCGAACGAAGAGCGAUGGAAGCUUGCUUCUAUCACUCUUAGUGGCGAACGGGUGAGUAACGCGUAAUCAACCUGCCCUUCAGAGGGGGACAACAGUUGGAAACGACUGCUAAUACCGCAUACGAUCCAAUCUCGGCAUCGGGACUGGAUGAAAGGUGGCCUCUAUUUAUAAGCUAUCACUGAAGGAGGGGAUUGCGUCUGAUUAGCUAGUUGGAGGGGUAACGGCCCACCAAGGCGAUGAUCAGUAGCCGGUCUGAGAGGAUGAACGGCCACAGUGGGACUGAGACACGGCCCAGACUCCUACGGGAGGCAGCAGUGGGGAAUCUUCCGCAAUGGACGAAAGUCUGACGGAGCAACGCCGCGUGAGUGAUGACGGCCUUCGGGUUGUAAAGCUCUGUUAAUCGGGACGAAUGGUUCUUGUGCGAAUAGUGCGAGGAUUUGACGGUACCGGAAGAGAAAGCCACGGCUAACUACGUG